CGGCAAAAAAUGCGGAAUAACCCUUUAACCGUACAUUUGACAGAUACGCGCGCAUGGACUUUUUUUGUAGAUCUUAUUGAGAUACAUGUGUGUGUCAAUUUUUGUGUCAUUUUGACAAAGCGUACAGGCGUGACACUCAACAAUGUGUAUUUUCACCUUAGGGGACAAGAAAAAAUGGACUUUUUUCUCCUGCCAUGGGGGGGCGCUCUUUUGGGGAGUAAAAAUUCCUUCACAAAUGUGUUGAUGGCUGGACAUUGCAUCAUCCUAGAAAACUUGGAGGCCAGUGAGGGCAAAAAUAAAAAGUUAUAAGACUUUUAAAUAUGUGGAUUUUAGGGUUAUCUUUGGCGCCCCCUAGAACCUAAACCGUGGGGUGCAGCGUCAUGAUUUGAAUAACUUUUAAUGGCCAUGGGGUGUAGAUUGGCCUGAGCAAAUGUGGUGCCGGUGGAACGAAAGCCUUCGGAGGAGUUAGCGAAAUUCCAAUGUGUGCGGAUCGGCAAAAAAUGCGAAAUAACCCUUUAACCGUACAUUUGACAGAUACGCCCGCACUGACUUUUUUGUAGAUCUUAUUGAGAUACAUGUGUGUGUCAAAUUUUGUGUCAUUUUGACAAAGCGUACAGGCGUGACACUCAAUAGUGUGAAUUUUCACCUUAGGGGGCGCUAUGGAGCCAUUUUGCAUUUUCUUGUUUGGGCGACUUCGGAAUAUCAAAUUUUUCACCAGGCCCGGUCGUCCUGCCAAAUUUCAUGAGUUUUCGCCAGUGGGAAGUGGGCCAUUUUCCAGUUCAAAGGGGAGGAAAAAGAAAAAAGAAACAAAGAAAAACCCCUUGGGGAAUAAUAGGGCUCUCGCAGCUGCUUAGCAGCUACGCUCGGGCCCUAAUAAUAACACUAGGACCCCGUUGGGGCACUGGCGGGCCCGAGCCGUGUCGUGUCCCCCCCCCCCCCCCCCCAACGUGCUGCCUCCCCGUCCCAUUUGUGUCCUUUUGGCCAUCGCCCUCUCUGGUAACGCCCAUCACUGCAAAGACCCUUUUCCUUCAUCGGCGUUUGCUGUUCUUCCUGCCAGUGCGUGUUGCUUUCACUUACACUUGCCACAGCCAGCCUCGUGAGUGCCUAGCCUAUUGGAUAUCACUGUCACCUACACAGGACAGUCAUUACCUUUCUAUUAAUACUUUGUGUUUUAAUUUCACAUUAAUUUCCAUAUUGUAUAAACGACUGGAAAAAACUUGAGCCCCUGCCCCUGUAUAAUCAUGUGCAUGUCUCUGUUCUAGCUCCAAGGUGAAUCUUCACUGCUCAUGUUCUCCUCAGAAGCACUCACCUCACUCCCCUCAGGUUACUGUACACAUGCACCAACUGCCUGCUUCAGGUUUGGAUGGAGCUUCAUGGUUGUCUUUUGGAGAAAUGACCAGUCAAGUUGUGUUUGAAAUUUGAUUUUUUUCAGGGGCAAAAGGAGCCUCUGCAUUCUUGUCAAAUAUGUAAAUAGCAUGUUUUUGCAGGUGCUAAAAACCAGACUCUGAGUGUGUGUGUGUGUGUGUGUGUGUGUGUGUGUGUGUGUGUGUGUGUGUGCGUGUGUGUGUGUCUGUGUGUGCGUUCAAGUCACAUGACAUAUUUAACCGGAUGUAGCUGCAAGACGGAGCCUCGUUGACUCUCCGUUUCAACUUAUCUCAAAAGUGAGGACCUCAACCUAUAUACCAGUUUUUAAAUUGUGUUGAUAGGCCAAAUAAAACCAGAGUUAUGAUAAAUUAUGUCCGCGAUACUUGUUUUCUGCUUAUUUUGAUCACGUUCGGCGCUCGAUCGCGCUGUAUGAGACAGGAAAACAUAGCAUGCAGACAUUAGCGACAGGUCUUACAGGCGGAAAAGGCUUGCCAAAGGAAAAAAAAAACACACCACAACAUCUCUCCUUUUGGUGGAAAACUUCACCACAACAACCAAUCCAAAAUUAUAUGGUGACUGAUUGACAAGGGGCGGGUGCUUACGUUCUUCCUGCAAUAUGAGAAGGGAGGGAGGGACUCUCAGCAGGGAUGCAGUCUGGGACACGUAGUUGCAAACCUAGCGACUUUGUUGUUAGAUUCAAUGACUUUUCAGACCCCCUAACGACUUUUUUUAGAAAGAAAGGGACUUUUAUCGACUUCUUCUGGAGUUUAGAGACUCUGACAUGAAGCAGGCUUUCCUUACUGAGGAGUUAGCAACGCUGCUAAGGGUGCAGAGCCACACAUGCGCUCCGAGCUCUGCAUGGGAGACUGAAGCUGACAGAGCUGCAGCAGUUAGCAGGUUUCACCCUCAGAGACCACCAGGGGUUCAUGUUGAGGCAUUUUAAAUUUUUUUUUUUGUGCCAUAGACACUGUCAGCACAAUCUGCAGUUACACUAACAAAAAUGCUGCAAAAAACAAAGAAUUAUGGAAAAAUUACACAUGGACUGACAUAGAGGAGGAUCUACACAAGUUUUUUACAUCAUGUUUUACAUCAUGCAUCAUUUACAUCAUGUUUUUUUGUAGUGGCAUAAAUAAAAAGUGACAUUUGUGAGACUAUACAGUGUUUUGUAAAUAAUUUUACAAAGAACACCUGGGCCAUUGCCUGCAUUUUGACGUCAAUAGAGGUAAAUUACUAUGUUCUUUGUUAAAAAUUUGCAUAUGUUUUGAAGUUUACAAUUUUUAUUUGAAGUUUAAGUUUUAAAAACAGUUCAUCACACAUAUUUGUGGUUUUCACAGUAAAAACGUUACUUUUUUCCACUCGGAUUUUAUGUUUUGUGUGUGAAUUUGGGUCCAAUGUGUAAAUAUAGUAUGUCAAAAUGAUAAAAUAACUGUAAAUUGACACAGGUGAGGUUGUGCUGAAAAAAAUGAUACCAGGCAAGGCAAGGUAAAAAUUUUGUAAGAGGAAAUAUAAAGGUAAAAUCUAAAGUAGUCAAAAACGGCCAAUAGUGACUCACAGACUCCACAGACAAGUCCCUUUGGCGCCACUCAGUGGGCAAAACUACUUUGUCUACUGUAAUGUAUAUUUGGGUCAUCUUUGGCGCCCCCUAAAACGUAAACCGUGGGGUGCAGCGUCAUGAUUUUUACAACUUUGAAUGGCCAUGGAGUGUAGAUUGGCCUGAGCAAAUUUGGUGUCAGUGGGACGAAAGCCUUAGGAGGAGUUAGCGAAAUUCCAAUGUGUGCGAAUCGGCAAAAAAUGCGAAAUAACCCUUUAACCAUACAUUAGACAGAUACGCGCGCAUGGACUUUUUUGUAGAUCUUAUUGAGAUACAUGUGUGUGUCAAUUUUUGUGUCAUUUUGACAAAGCGUACAGGCGUGACAGUCAAUAGUGUGAAUUUUCACCUUAGGGGACAAGAAAAAAUGGACUUUUUUCUCCUGCCAUGGGGGGGCGCUCUUUUGGGGAGUAAAAAUUCCUUCACAAAUGUGUUGAUGGCUGGACAUUGCAUCAUCCUAGAAAACUUGGAGGCCAGUGAGGGCAAAAAUAAA
Non-coding RNA from Xyrichtys novacula (pearly razorfish), 3446 nucleotides. The record is from the annotation of a GenBank genome assembly. Lineage: Eukaryota; Metazoa; Chordata; Actinopteri; Labriformes; Labridae.